Molecule: ribosomal RNA, 2884 nt
Filed under: Capsicum annuum
Lineage: Eukaryota; Viridiplantae; Streptophyta; Magnoliopsida; Solanales; Solanaceae
Description: bacterial LSU rRNA
Rfam family: Eukaryotic large subunit ribosomal RNA (bases 4-2038)
Source: RNAcentral
AAUCCAGGUCAGGCGUGAUUAUCCAAUGAGUUUUAGAAUAUCAAUAAGUGGAGCAAAGAAACUUACAAAGGAUUCCCUUAGUAAUGGCGAGCAAACCAAAAAUAGCGCAGCGUUAGAAUCUGGUGGCUCCAUCAUCUGAAUUAUAGUCUAGAGAAGCGUCCUCACCGAUGGACUGGGACCAUGGCCCCUAGAAGGGGGUAAGAGAGAGGGUGAGAGCCCCAUUGUGCCUGGACCCUGUAGCACCAUGAGGUUCUAUCUACGAGUCAUGUUGUUUGGUAAUGCAACCCAAAUCAAGUGCUGAAUUCUGUCUAAGGCUAAAUAUGGGUGAGAGAUAGAUAGCAAAUAAGUAGAGCGAGGGAAAGAUGAAAUGGACUUUGACAAGAGAGUCAAAGAGUACUUGAAAUUGUUGGGAGGUAAGUGAAUAGGGGCCGGCGAUGCACCCUGGUCGAAUAUGGAAUAACGAUGAGCCGGUUCACUGAUCGACUCGGUGUAUUGAUCGACCUGGAUUGGGGUUGGCAAAAGCCCAGGAUCUCGAUAAGCUCAUAGAAUGUCGUCUCCUUGAUUAUGGAAUGCAACACGCACCUCUAACAUGCUUUCACAUCUGCACCCUCCAAAUACUGGCAUGUGUGCUCCCUAUUUGAACCAUCUUGAAACAAGGACCAAGGAGUUUGACAUGUUUGCAAGUCAAUGAAUGAGUAAACCCUUAAGGUAUAAGGAAGAUGAUUGGUGGGAUCCCCUUGAGGGAUUAACCACUGACCGACUUUGAACUUCUGAGAAGGUUCGAGUCUGAGCAUACUUGUUGGGACCCAAAAGAUGAUGAACUAUGCUUGAGUAGAACGAAUCCAAAGAAAACUCUGGUGGAGGCCCGCAGUAAUACUGACGUUUAAAUUAUUCGUCUGACUUUUGUAUAGGGGUGAAAGACUAAUCGAACUGUCUAGUAGUUGGUUCCCUAUGAAGUUUCCCUCAAGAUAUAUGAAGCUGUGUGCGAGUUCUAUCGGGCAAAGCCAGUGAUUAGAGGCCUCGAGGGUCCAACACCCUUGACCUAUUCUCAAACUAUAAAUAGGCAGGACGGUGCAACUGCUUUGUUUAAUUGCGCCGCUGAAUCAAAAGCUCCAUGUGGGCCAUUUUUUGUAAGAAUAACUGAUGAUACGGGAUGAACCAAAAGUUGGGUUAGGUGCUAAACUGCAUGCUAACCUAGACACAACAAAGGGUGUUGGUCGAAUAAGAUAGUAGAACAAUGGUCAUGGAAUUUAAAAUCCUCUAAGGAGUGUGUAAAAACUCACCUCCUAAAUCAACUAAUCCUUAAAAAGAAUGGCACUUAAGCAAGCGACCGACACCCCGCCGUCCCGAUGAGUAGAAGGGUGUGAAGGUCACUGCAAAAACUUAGGCGCGAGCCUAGGCAUAACGACCAUUGUUGUAGAUCUUGGUGGUUGUAGAAAAAUAUUAAAAUGAGAACUUUGAGGGCUGAAGAAGGGAAAGGUUUCAUGUGAACGGAGUUUGCACAUGGGUUAGUUGAUCCUAAGAGUCGGGGGAGCUCUGACAGAUACAAUGUUAGAAAGUACGGAGACGUUAGUGAGAGCCUCAGAAAAAGUUAUCUUUUCUAUUUAACAGCCUACCCAUCCUGAAAUUGGCUCAGCAGGAGGUAGGGUCUAGCUGUUGGAAGAGCACCACACAUCACGUGGUGUCUGGUGUGCUCCUGGAGGCCCUUGAAAAUUCAAAGGACCAAAUGUCAUCAACGCCCGGUUAUACUCAUAACCCCAUCAGGUCUCCAAGUUGAACAACCUCUGGUCAAUGGAAUAAUGUAGGCAAGGAAAGUUGGCAAAAUGGAUUCGUAACUUCAAGAAAGGGAUUUUAUUUGAGGGCAGAGAACAAGGAUGAUACACCUAAUGAUUCUUUUCGAAAUACCGUGUUCACUAAGUAUUGUGAUUCUUAUUAGAUUGUUGAUCAAAGGUUCUUGAGUAAAAGAGGUCUUGAUUUAUGAUUUACAUUCUAAAUAAUUGUAACAGAGAUGUUCCAACUAAUGAUUCUUUUCGAAAGUAAUAAUUCAAUGAUAUUAAACAAACUAGAGUUAUGGUUACCAAGAUGCUUAAACAAUUUGGGCUGUGAAUCACUUUUGAGUUCCAAUUAAUAACUUCAAUUGAAAGAGUAGUUGAAUUCUAUUGUUUACCCAUUAGUUUCUCAACCUCAAUGGAUAGUUCAUCCUUUAAUUCUCUCAAAAUUAAAAACUGAAUUAAUUAUUCAACUAUUUUCUCAUGUAGGUCAAUCUUGUUAAGGCAUUUGCCGUUAAUUUAAAGGUUAAAGCCUUUAGAUUCCAUGUAAACCCUUUAUUUUUCAAACAAACACUUUUCUAUUCGAACAAGUGGUGUUCUUGGACUCGCUUUUAAAGUUUCCAACCAAGAAAAGUUUUUAAAGUGAAGAAGGGUUCAUGCAAUGUCAACUACCCAUGAAACUCAAUUAUAAUCAGAACCAAAUCAGUGUUUCACAUCAAGGAUCCUAUAAUCCUAGUUAUGAGAGCUUAGCUACACAUCUUCAUUGAAGAAAAAUAAAGAAUCUUCGUAUGAUUCCAAAAUUAAUUCAGUAUUCUCUUACAAAAGUUACAAGAUUUAGUUCUUGAACCUUCAAUAGAAAUGGAAUGAUUACAUCCACAAGUUUUGUUUAAUUCACAGACUGCUACAUUACAGAGGUUAAAAAAUGGAAAAUUCAGGUAACAAUAUCCAAGAUCCCAGAAAUAAAACCCUAACCGGGUAUUUUUAUGCUCCCAGGUAUAGAAGUUUUAAAAUUUAAACUCAGAAAAAGCCGCGUCCAAGUUGACGGUCUAAUUGACGGCCCAUCGAAGGCCUUACGGUCCAUCGCACAGGCCAUUAUUUGAUGUCCUUAAAUAUCA